ACGUAGGGGGCAAGCGUUAUCCGGAUUUACUGGGUGUAAAGGGAGCGUAGACGGCAUGGCAAGUCUGAAGUGAAAACCCGAGGCUCAACCACGGGAUUGCUUUGGAAACUGUCAAGCUUGAGUGCCGGAGAGGUAAGCGGAAUUCCUAGUGUAGCGGUGAAAUGCGUAGAUAUUAGGAGGAACACCAGUGGCGAAGGCGGCUUACUGGACGGUAACUGACGUUGAGGCUCGAAAGCGUGGGGAGCAAACAG
This 251-nucleotide ribosomal RNA is filed under the name uncultured bacterium. RNAcentral describes it as "partial 16S ribosomal RNA". It matches the Rfam family "Bacterial small subunit ribosomal RNA", at positions 525 to 775 of the family's 1533-position model. The record is from RNAcentral.